CUUCUUUGAGGGUUCGAAACCAAAAGGCCCAACAGUGAAGACAUCAUAUGUGGGGGGUUUUACAGGGAGAGAGCUAGCUGCUGGUGGCUUGGGAAGUGGGGUGUAUUUCAACAAAGCACCAGAUUUUCCACCAUUGUAAUCUGUUGGGACAUCGCAAUAAGUAUUGUUUGAUGAGACCAAGAACACCUUGCAUUUGUGGUAAGCUCCUGAGGACAAGAGUUUGGGCAUGAUCCAGAAGAAACCAUUCUUGUCUGUCUUGCCCUGUUCCACUAAUGUCUUCUUUGUGUUGUUGCAUACUAGCUUCACUACCGCUCCUGCAAUGACAUCAUAUCCAAACAAUCAGUAUCCCUUAAGGUGGCGAAAACGGAAUGUUAUAACGUAAAUAAAAAUGUUACAAUAUCAUGUCACCUAAAAGAUAACUAUAUAUAAUUACCCAUAAUUAUAAGUGUCAAUAAGGAGGCAGCCUACUACAACAGAUUGAUGGUGUGUAGAAAUUACUUACAGUGUCAAUGUGUCAUGGUAUAUAUUUAAAUCUAUAAUUUCGAGGGUAAAUAACUACUGUUCAGUGUGCACAUAAGAUAUGUAUUAGUACAUUCUAUAUGACUAUAUUAAUAGCUAUACCAACAUCAAUACUCUCAAAUCAAAAGACAAAACAAAUUCAGCUCAAAAUACUAAGAAAUCGUUAGAAACAUAUGUAUUAGUUAAAGUUUGAUGUGGUAGAGUUUUGAAAAUCGAAAAAUGACUACUCUUUUUGGCAAAAUGCCUUCUCCGUCGGAAUGCAUUAUUAGCCUUUCCUAUAGUAUAAAAUCUCGCCAAAUAUCUUUUGCGACAUUGAAUAGGGCAUAUUAUGAGCUCCUUGGUAAACCGCAAAGUAAAAUGACAUAAGUAAUAUAUAUAAUACUCCUUGAUAUGUUCAUGAAUUGCAUAAAAUGUUAACCAAAAUAAAAUGAAGUACUAAAAAAGAAGGAUAUUGAACAAACCCAGGAGUGGGGAAGCUUGGUUUAGAGUUUUAACCCCUCUAAACUUGCACGGUUUGCAGUAAACAAGGCCACGUACAGCUACAGGUUUCCUAGUAAUAGGAGCAGGAUAAGGUGAUGGUGUUGGUGGUUUAACUGGUGGCUUAGCUGGUGGUUUUGAUGGACUAUAAGUGGGAGGCUUAGUUGGUGGUUUAACUGGCGGCUUAGCUGGUGGUUUUGAUGGACUGUAAGUGGGAGGUUUAGUUGGUGGUUUUGAAGGAGUAUAAGAUGGUGAAGGGGCUGGGGAAUAUUUGGGGUGGUGGUAGCCUUUGUGAGCUUUAGGGGCUUCAGCUGGUG
This 1313-nucleotide long non-coding RNA is filed under the name Nicotiana tabacum (common tobacco). RNAcentral describes it as "long non-coding RNA (NTAB_LNC005252)". The record is from RNAcentral. Lineage: Eukaryota; Viridiplantae; Streptophyta; Magnoliopsida; Solanales; Solanaceae.